RNAcentral lists this ribosomal RNA (391 nucleotides) under uncultured bacterium. Its description in RNAcentral is "bacterial SSU rRNA". It matches the Rfam family "Bacterial small subunit ribosomal RNA", at positions 362 to 770 of the family's 1533-position model. The record is from RNAcentral.
UAUUGCACAAUGGGGGGAACCCUGAUGCAGCGACGCCGCGUGGGCGAUGGAGUACUUCGGUAUGUAAAGCCCUAUCAGCAGGGAAGAAAAUGACGGUACCUGACUAAGAAGCCCCGGCUAAAUACGUGCCAGCAGCCGCGGUAAUACGUAUGGGGCAAGCGUUAUCCGGAUUUACUGGGUGUAAAGGGAGCGUAGGCGGCCUGGCAAGCCUGAUGUGAAAUACCGGGGCCCAACCCCGGGGCUGCAUUGGAAACUGUUGAACUGGAGUACAGGAGAGGUAAGCGGAAUUCCUAGUGUAGCGGUGAAAUGCGUAGAUAUUAGGAGGAACACCAGUGGCGAAGGCGGCUUACUGGACUGUAACUGACGUUGAGGCUCGAAAGCGUGGGGAGCA